UAUCCUGGCUCAGGAUGAACGCUGGCGGCGUGCCUAAUACAUGCAAGUCGAGCGAACAGAUGAGAAGCUUGCUUCUCUGAUGUUAGCGGCGGACGGGUGAGUAACACGUGGGUAACCUACCUAUAAGACUGGGAUAACUCCGGGAAACCGGGGCUAAUACCGGAUAAUAUAUUGAACCGCAUGGUUCAAUGUUGAAAGACGGUUUCGGCUGUCACUUAUAGAUGGACCCGCGCCGUAUUAGCUAGUUGGUAAGGUAACGGCUUACCAAGGCAACGAUACGUAGCCGACCUGAGAGGGUGAUCGGCCACACUGGAACUGAGACACGGUCCAGACUCCUACGGGAGGCAGCAGUAGGGAAUCUUCCGCAAUGGGCGAAAGCCUGACGGAGCAACGCCGCGUGAGUGAUGAAGGUCUUAGGAUCGUAAAACUCUGUUGUUAGGGAAGAACAAAUGUGUAAGUAACUGUGCACAUCUUGACGGUACCUAAUCAGAAAGCCACGGCUAACUACGUG
Molecule: ribosomal RNA, 511 nt
Filed under: uncultured Staphylococcus sp.
Lineage: Bacteria; Bacillati; Bacillota; Bacilli; Caryophanales; Staphylococcaceae
Description: bacterial SSU rRNA
Rfam family: Bacterial small subunit ribosomal RNA
Source: RNAcentral